GCCUUAUUUGCUUCCUACAAGAACAGUGAGGCUCCAGGGGCUUCAGAAUUUAUCAUAGUGAGUUGGGGCACCUGGAAUUUAAAAAUCUGGCUGACUGCUUGAAGCAACUGAUGCUUGCACAGAAAGGCAGCUCUUCAUCCGUCUGCAAAGUUUCAUUAUUUCCUCAAUAAAAGAAACUGAAUAAGACAGAUGAGGACAGAGAUGAAACUGUUCCGCUCUCUCUCCAGCCACUGACCCUAUACUUAAAAUUCAGCAGAACUUCUGAGAGCCUUGUUGCA
Long non-coding RNA from Alligator sinensis (Chinese alligator), 278 nucleotides. RefSeq lists it as uncharacterized. The transcript has 3 exons. Lineage: Eukaryota; Metazoa; Chordata; Crocodylia; Alligatoridae. The record is from RefSeq and is a predicted model, not a curated record.